CAGGGAGAGCUUAAUACAGGUGAGCCCCGUUAACUUGCGCACGCGUAAGUCGCAGUUCGGCUUUACUUGUCGCCAAGUUGUGGACCCCGAAAAUUUAGACU
This is a long non-coding RNA of Thalassophryne amazonica, 101 nucleotides long. RefSeq lists it as uncharacterized. Lineage: Eukaryota; Metazoa; Chordata; Actinopteri; Batrachoidiformes; Batrachoididae. The transcript is spliced from 3 exons. The record is from RefSeq and is a predicted model, not a curated record.